GUGCUCGCUUCAGGAGCACAUGUACUAAAAUUGGAACAAUACAGAGAAGACUAGCAUGGCCCCUGCGCAAGGAUAAAAGACAUUGUUGAAUUUACAGUGAUGU
Molecule: small nuclear RNA, 103 nt
Organism: Leopardus geoffroyi (Geoffroy's cat)
Lineage: Eukaryota; Metazoa; Chordata; Mammalia; Carnivora; Felidae
Source: RefSeq, a predicted model, not a curated record